This is a non-coding RNA of Marasmius sp. AFHP31, 105 nucleotides long. The record is from the annotation of a GenBank genome assembly. Lineage: Eukaryota; Fungi; Basidiomycota; Agaricomycetes; Agaricales; Marasmiaceae.
GGCGCUAUAGCCAAGUGGUUACGGCGACAGAUUCGAAUCUCGCAAAAGCCGAUAAUUAUAAUCUGUUCCUCUUUGAGGGCGCAGGUUCAAAUCCUGCUGGCGUCG